ACAAUGUCCUCCUAUUCAAAGCUUUCCGAAGGCUAUUUGUCCAGGCACACCCCGCCACCCCCGGGGAUAAUGAAAUAUAUUGGCAAUCUCUCUUCGAUGUUUAAAACCCCUCUCUCCGUGAAGGAGUAAGAUCUGAGUAAGGCAGUCUUUUGUAUAGGGGUAGACACAUUGCUGUUCAGUCACAGCCACAGCAAAAUCCUGAUUAUCUCAGUUGCUAUCUAUUUGUUACUGCAUAUUGGAAGGUGAAAAUAUGGCUUCGGUCCACUUAUUUUUGCAACCUUCAAUGGCGACAAGCUCUAAGUCUUAAAGAGGCCUGGUGCAAAUUUACUCCUGGGGGAACAGCAAUUUCAUGUACUCAAAAGCGUAGCAAUAAACCCAUUGAUGUAAUUCUCGCGACUAGUUUAGAUUUCUGUUUCAAAAGGGCAGAAGCAAAGCAAGCCAACAUUUCCACAAAUUAGCUUAUUUCAAGAAUUUGAAGAGAAAGGUUUGCUACCUGCAGAUGGGAUAUAUCUUUGUAUUGUAUUCUUAUUUUUGCUUUUAUGCUGUCUAGCUUAGUCAUCUAUGUUUUAAUAUAAUAGAGUUUUGCAUACAGACAGGGAUAUUGAGAGGUUACUGCAUAGUGUGAUCUGAAAGCAAGGGCUUAAAUGGUAUUUGUGCCUCCCACAGGGCAAGAGAUUAAUGUGUGUCGGUGCUCAUUUUCCUAAUUUUAGAAAGUAUUCUAACAGGACCUCCAAAAGCAGUUCUGUCUCCCCCGAGUAAGGAAAAAGAUUUUGAUACUUAAAUGUUUGUGGUCCUAAUCAGUUUGUGGGAUGUAAAAUUAGGGCUUUCCCUUCCUGGCCCAACAGAUGUAUCCUAGUCAGGAGAGUCACUUCUAUGAGAACCUAUAAGCUUUUGUGGCAGAAGGUAUUUACAGAAAUAAGCUAUAUUGCGGGUCAAUGUGGAAUGUACCACAAGUUUUGGACUGUUAACCAUUUUAAAAGAAUGUACCACAAUCUGGCUUUGUUGUAAAGAACUAAUUAUUUUUCUUUCGCAGUGGCGUGUCUACUAGUGUCACAGAAUUGGAAAGGAUUGAAACAUCUGUGUAUCUCCAGUUGGAAACAGAAUGGAUGGUCUAUUGCUGCACCAGAGAAAUUAACAAAGAGAUUACAUGCACUGAAUAAUACAAAUGAUGUAGACGAUUUUGUUGAAAUAUGUCAUCCUUUUGUCAAAUAUUAUAAGACUUUAAAUUAUUUCUAAAUCUGCAUCUAUAUGCCAUGGUGUAUUUGUAACAGCGAAACCAGAGGCCUUCAUCUCUCCCCGCUGCCAUAAAACUUGCCUCUCUCAUAUUGGUCUCUACAGCAACAGCAGGGGCUGUAACUCUAGUGGCUCAUUCUUCCAUUGUCUCAAGACUGAUGGAUGCCAACAAAAUAUGCAUGAUAUAUGCAAAUACGCAUUAUAUGCAAAUUUCAUGCAUAUCUGUAUCAUCCCUCUAUGGCCCUCUAGUUGUUGGACUCCAACUCCCAUCGGCUCCAGUCAGCAUGGCUAAAGAUCAAGCUUGAUGGGAACUGUAGGCCAACAACAUCUGGAGGCCCACAUGUUCCCCACCCAUGCCCCAAAGUGACCAGAGGAUAAUGGCCCUCUAAGAUAAUAAAUUUUGAUCUAGCUUGUUUUCCCACAGCAUAGUUUUCACUAAGGUGGUGACUCUUGCUUGUACUACUUUCAACUGUGGGCAGCCGUUUGUGGGAUUGCUCUUGCAAGUAAACAAAUAAAUCCCUGUUAGCAGAAGACCAGAUGCAGAUGAGGAACUUCUUCCUGACAGUCUAGCUUUCAGUAUCUGAUAUUAUCUAAUAUGCCUGUUUGAUCUGCAAAUAUUGGUAUGAGUUUGGGGGUGCCAGUCUCCCCUAAAUUCCUGGACCCAGUAAGUGUUAGAAAUUAAUCAAGCCUCCUGAACCCCUGGAUCUAUCAAGAGUUAAAAUAUAAGCCAGACUAGCUUUCUUAUGAGGUAAUCACCUGGGAGAUGAGCCAUUAAGAGAAAACAAAGGGGAAGGUGAUGGAUCGCUAAGAUAGCAAGAGAGGGGAGUCUGUGCCAGAGGGAAAAUGGGUGAGGCCCCCUCCUCCAGCUCUAGAUAGUUAGAAGGCCAGAGUUUUGAAACAGAGUGUAAACUUGACUGUGAUGUGAUCCAAAAGGAAAAAGGUUGCAGGCAGUAAAAGACUGAGGCAGAGCACAACGUUUGCUUUCUGCUGUGAUCCAAGACUACAGCUGCGGGAGAAACAAGUUCCUUUUGCGGUGUUUAUGCAGUGAGCCCCUCCAUCGUAGGCUCAGGUUGUAUAUAUGUGUAAAUAAACCAUAUAUUAUGAAGACACCACAGUCUCCGCUGUGCCUCAUUUCCAAAAGGAAACACGGACCCUGGGUAAGGGUGCCUUGAACCCCUGAAAUCUUGCACUGUUCGGAGAUUGGAGUGGCAUGCAAUUAUAUAUUUGUUUUGAAAAUGUUAUUUUUUCUCCCUGAGUCUUUAGAAUGAGAAGAGCUAAGCUUAAAAAUUAAUAAAUAAGAGCUUAGAUGAAAUGCAAAGCUAAGAGGAAAUUUCCUAGGCUAUUAUAUAUUUUUAAAUAAAUUUAUGUUGUCUGGAGAAACAGCCAAGUGUCAGGUAGUUCCCAAAAGGUGUUUUCCUCUCUACCACCAGUAUAAACACUCUGGAUUGUAUACUUUGAAGUCAGAUUAGCACGUUAAGCCUAUCAUUCCAAUGAAGAUGUGACAUUGUAUGUAUUUAUGUCAAAACAACCUGUCAUCUGUGUUUUGGCAUGUCUGAAUAGAGAAAAGGGGGGGAGGGAUAUGAAAUCGAGACUUGGGAUUUGUACAGCUAAACAAAAUAAUUAAUUUUAAUAAGGGAUUUGGGCAAUUGUAUUUACCCCUGAAUGGGAGCGUUUUUGUUUGGUUUGCUAAUCCUGUUGUAAACAGUUCAGUGAACAGCUAUGCGAUUGCUUUUAUCUGGUUGUUUUACUUGUUCUUUUUGUAGUUUUGUUGCAAAUGUGUGCUACUUUCAGUUCAGGUGCAAGAUUGUUAUGCUAUGAGAUAGAAAGAAAGAUAAUCACUGUUGGCAGUGACCUGAUGGGUAGCGCCGACUUAUUGUAUCUGUGGCUUGCAUAACAUUUGGUGUUGUGUGUAAUGUAUAUUAUCCUUGAGCAAUAAUUGAGCUGUGCUGCCUUCUGCCCUUAAUUGCUGGACUGGGCCAUCAGUGAGUAGGUGGGUCUUGGCAAAACCAAAGAUGGGAAAUAAAUGACCACAUUUUUAAACAGCAGCCCAAUGUUUUGCUGCCCUUAAUUAUGGGCUUUUCUUGAAAGUCCUGUAUGACUCAGAGCUUGGAG
This 3345-nucleotide long non-coding RNA is filed under the name Podarcis lilfordi (Lilford's wall lizard). The record is from RNAcentral. Lineage: Eukaryota; Metazoa; Chordata; Lepidosauria; Squamata; Lacertidae.